This 934-nucleotide non-coding RNA is filed under the name Nesorohyla kanaima (Kanaima treefrog). RNAcentral's name for it is "partial 12S ribosomal RNA". It matches the Rfam family "Bacterial small subunit ribosomal RNA". Lineage: Eukaryota; Metazoa; Chordata; Amphibia; Anura; Hylidae. The record is from RNAcentral.
UGGUCCCAACCUUGAAGUCAAUUAUUGCUUCCCUUACACAUGCAAGUCUCCGCACCCCUGUGAAAACGCCCUUAAAUCCCCAAUAGGGACUAGGAGCUGGUAUCAGGCACAACAAUUAGCCCAAAACACCUAGCUACGCCACACCCACAAGGGUACUCAGCAGUGAUCAACAUUGAAAAAUAAGCGACAGCUUGACUCAGUUAAAGCAAAAAGGGCCGGCAAACCCGGUGCCAGCCGCCGCGGAUACACCCUCGGGGCCCAAAUUGACCUCUUUCGGCGUAAAGCGUGAUUAAAGUUAGCCAAUACUGUAGUUUAACUAAAACUAAGUAGUGAUAUGCUUAUAUUUAGGACAACCAAAAACGAAAGUUACUACACCCAAAACAAUUUGAACUCACGACAGCUAGGACACAAACUGGGAUUAGAUACCCCACUAUGCCUAGCCGUAAACCUUGAAUUACACUCCCCUAAUCGCCAGGGAACUACGAGCAAAGCUUAAAACCCAAGGGACUUGACGGUGCCCCAUAUCCCCCUAGAGGAGCCUGUCCUUUAAUCGAUAAUCCCCGCUUAACCUCACCAUUUUUAGCUACAUCAGUCUGUAUACCUCCGUCGUCAGCUUACCACAUGAGCGAUAAGCAGUAAGCUUAAUGUCCACAACCCUACGUCAACACGUCAGGUCAAGGUGCAACUUAUAAAAUGGAAAGCGAUGGGCUACACUCUCUAAUAUAGAGAACACGAAAAACUAAUUAUGAAAACUAGUUGAAAGGCGGAUUUAGUAGUAAAAAGAGAAUAGAGAGCUCUUUUUAACCCGGCACUGGGGUGUGUACACACCGCCCGUCACCCUCUUCGCAGCCCUAUUACAGUUUUUAACAAACCUACGCAUCAUAGAAGAGGCAAGUCGUAACACGGUAAGUAUACCGGAAGGUGUGCUUGGAAA